This 585-nucleotide long non-coding RNA is filed under the name Equus asinus (donkey). RNAcentral's name for it is "lncRNA (ENSEASG00005025855.1)". The record is from RNAcentral. Lineage: Eukaryota; Metazoa; Chordata; Mammalia; Perissodactyla; Equidae.
CACAGAUUCAGGAUGCAGUACAGGUUAAGCAGUGUUGGUAAGGAAGCCCCAAGCGCAGGGAAGGGUUGCAAAACCUCCUGCCUAGCAGGUGAGGGAAGGAAUGUGAUGAGAAAUGUGGGUAGGGGUCAGAUCAGGCAGGGAUGCGGACGCCACGAUGAGGACUUAAAAAAAGUAAGCGAAAGAACGACAUAGGAAAACUGAGGAGAAGGGAAGGCGAAUAAGGCUGGGUAAAGAGCCUCUCAAAUGGAUGACUUCAAGACCCCAGGAGCCAAGAUCUGAGAGUUUCUUUAAUGGCAUCAAUGGCCUGGCAGGGGGAAAAUGAAAGAGGAGGAAGAGAAACUUUAGUCUUUCCCGCCCACCCGGAGGUCCAAUUUGUCCCGAAGCCGCGGAGGAAGGGUCCUGUGAAUACCUCCAAGCUCCGCCCCCUCCGAGCCCCGCCUACAGGGCUGGGCUUCAUUGCACGUGCUCACUCGGCUCCUUCGCGACCUGCCUCCUUGGGAAGACUCAUUGUUGGGGCGGGGGGAUACGAGGAGUCUUAGCGAACACUGGCCAGGGAUAAGUCAAAAUAAAGAGAGGCUCCUGAAG